RNAcentral lists this transfer RNA (67 nucleotides) under Parazyginella tiani. RNAcentral describes it as "tRNA-Trp". It matches the Rfam family "tRNA". Rfam says of the family: Transfer RNA (tRNA) molecules are approximately 80 nucleotides in length. Their secondary structure includes four short double-helical elements and three loops (D, anti-codon, and T loops). RNAcentral also lists the same sequence under 1 other name. The record is from RNAcentral. Lineage: Eukaryota; Metazoa; Arthropoda; Insecta; Hemiptera; Cicadellidae.
AAGACUUUAAGUUAAGUAAACUAUUAGCCUUCAAAGUUGAAAAUGAAGGGUAUUAAAUCAAGUCUUA